CAUAAUUAAGGCUGGCGUUGAGUCUCAAGAACAAGACAAAAACUUCAGUUCUGUCCAGCAACCACUGACACCCCACAGGGAAUCAGCCUCUGGCGCCAAGGAGACUUCUUAGCUAAUCAUAAUAAGAGGCUUCUCUGAAUCAACCUGGGGGAUUAGUAGGGGGUGUCACAGCUGGAUCACCUCCCUAUCCAAAGUAAACUUCCUCCAUAAGGAAUUUCUGCAGAACAAACCAAACCCACUUGAAAACCUUAAGAAAAUGCUAAACCCCAAAUAACUUUAUAAAUUCUGAAAUUACAUGGCUCAGUGAAGCACUCAGAAUUUCACGAGAAUCUGCCCUUCAUGCCUCUGGUAUACAUACUUUUCAUAUUCAUUUUAACCACAUCAAGAAAUCCCCUA
Molecule: long non-coding RNA, 396 nt
Filed under: Bos taurus (domestic cattle)
Lineage: Eukaryota; Metazoa; Chordata; Mammalia; Artiodactyla; Bovidae
Description: long non-coding RNA NONBTAT022293
Source: RNAcentral